UUUCAUUUGAAAAACAGAAGUUUAUAUAACCAUUAACCAUAGAACAUAUGGUACGUAACGAAAAAUCUCAAGAAAUCGAAAAUAUAGUCUUGGAGUAAGUCUCAAGAUUAAUUUCGUCAGUCGUAGUUAGAAUGCAGUGAUCUAUACUUCAAACCUCGCAGGACCGUUCAAAGCACCCAACCGUUGUCAUGUCUCAUAUACGUCGACAAUAAUAAUUGAUUCGUCGUCGACUCUAUGUAUACAUUCUGUGGUGGAUAGUUGGAUAGUUGACAAUUGCUUAAAUAGAGAAAAAAAACCUGUUUUUUUUUUUUACUAAACCAUGGCGAACAGAAAUCACCAAGACCCAAUACGUCAAAGAAUAAAAGUUCAGGUAAAAUCCUUGAAAAUCCGUAUAGAUUCUUCCAGUCAGUCGAUGUAUACGCAAUUCGUAUUAUGUACGACCGGAAAUGUUUUCCCUGACAGCUUUACUAGUGUCUAACCGACAAGUUUACCCUGCUCGUAUUGUACAGUAAAAAUAAACUAAUAAAACUGCUGUCGCUGUUGCAUAACAGCGAAUGACGUAAAAAUGGAAAAUUUUUUUGCAAAAAAAAAAAAAAUAACGAAUGAAUUAUAAGACAUACAGAGGUGGUGCGCGCUGUAAUAAAAAUCGUCACGUGCUAUAUUUUCAUCUCGCAAGCGAUGAAUUCCGAUAUUCACAAGUAUCAUAAUUCAUUUAAACGUUUAUUUAUGACGUCCGUUGAACUAUUCACUAACGCAGGUUGAACUGGAUCAAAUAACGUUUUCAUUAUGCAUGUAGAGCGUAUAACUGAAGGUGGUACUCAAAUUCUUGAAAAAUUUUAUUUGGAUACAAAGCUCACGAACAUUUUUUGAUAAAAACUAACUCCCAUGCGGGUUUUCACUUGAAAAACAGAAGUGUGUGUAUCUACAGGAAACACUUGAGAUUGCUAUAUAUUCUAAGCUGUACCUACCUAUCUAGUUUAAAGUCUUUUGGAUUUACAUAUCAAUUAUUGUACAUUAUAUAUGCUUACUACAAUCAGCGCGGUUUGUAAUACCAUAUUUUACAAGUUUGGAGCAAUUCGACCAAAAAAAUAAUAUUGCAAUUUAUUGUGAAAACAAUUAUUAUUUAAAAUUUAAAAUUUAAAAUACGAAAUGUGAAAAUUGCAUUGACAAAUUAUUGCAGUUAUACUCAUUUAAAUAUAGAUGAAGAAAUUGGAACCAUAAAAAUAUAGAUAAUCAAACUAAUAUAGUUGGCAGUUUACUACAAGGUGAAGUAUUUAAUCAUUCAAAGAGAUUGAUAUCUUAUUUUAAUUAAAAAUAAUAGUUAUUAAAAAUUAUUAUUUUCUUCUUUUUAUUACGACCGCUAAGACAAUAAUGAUUUGUAAACUUAUACAUUUCUAAGAAGUAUUGGUGUACUUUUUAAUGUUAAAAUUAAGUAAAUUAUUUGAUUUAUCAUGCAAUAUAAUUUUAAUGAGAUAAUAAUAUAAAUUGUAAUUAAUAAAAUAAUAAAUUGUCUUAUAAUAGUACAGAAGUAUAAUAUGACGUAAGCAUACUUCACACUAUUUAUACCGAUAAUUAAAAUAUAUGUGUUAAGUUUUUAUAACAGUUAAUUAGAUCCUUCGAUUGAGUGUAUAGAAAUGUUAGGCAAAAACUUAAUUAAUCUAUCAGAGGAAUAAAAACAAAUUUUUUCACAACAGUAAUCCUUAACUUUCAGAUUGUUUAAUUUUCAUAUAUCAUACUUAACUAAAACAACACUCGUAGGGUUAAAUAUAUUUUAACUGUUAACAUUUUUUUGCCCUUAUACUUACAGCUGAUAAAAUUAUAAUACGGAAGUGGGUAAUUUGUUGAAUGAUUAGUAAAACAUUUUAAACAAUAUACUUUCGAAUUUUGUUAUUAGUGUGUUUAUUAUUCAUUAAUUAUCUAUUAUUGAACACGCUAUUUUCUAUAUUUUUGUUUUUGCAGGGUGCUAUUGUAUGUCUAUAUAAGUAAACAGAAAAUCGUUAUUUGAUAUAUAUGUAUUUUGUACACUUAUACAGCAUUCUUAAAUUUAGUUUGGCGAAAA
Aphis gossypii (cotton aphid) is the source of this 2059-nucleotide long non-coding RNA. RefSeq lists it as uncharacterized. The record is from RefSeq and is a predicted model, not a curated record. NCBI's taxonomy places the organism in Eukaryota, Metazoa, Arthropoda, Insecta, Hemiptera, Aphididae. The transcript is spliced from 7 exons.